This 4567-nucleotide long non-coding RNA is filed under the name Equus caballus (horse). RNAcentral describes it as "lncRNA (ENSECAG00000055525.1)". The record is from RNAcentral. Lineage: Eukaryota; Metazoa; Chordata; Mammalia; Perissodactyla; Equidae.
GUAAGAAAUAACAACUGAAUAUAUCAGAGCUUUGUUUGGAUCUUGAUUUGAUUUGAUUAUACACACUGUAUAAAUAUAUCUUUGACGUAAUCUUGGAAUCAUGAAUAUGAAGUAUGUAUCAGACGAUAUUAAGAAACUACUAUUAAUUCUGCUAGAUUUAAUAAUAGCAUGGUAUUUAUAUGGCGUGUUUUAUAUAUAUAUAAUAUAUGCCUUACCAGUUAGAGAUGGAUAGAAAAGAAUUUACAAUGGAAAUGGAAUAAUGUCUGGAGUUUGCUUUAAAAUAGUUUAGAAAACAAACAAAAAAGGUAGGAGGGCAUAAGUGAAAAGAGAUUGAUGAAUAUCAUAAUUGUUCAGUCUGAGUGAGGAGUACAAAGAUUUUUUUUUAUACUAUCCUUCCUGCUUCUAUUUACGUUUGAAAAUUUUCCACAAUAAAAAUUAUAAUCUCAAUUCAUUGCCUUAGAAAUGAGUAAAUACACUGGAAACUUCCUUUUUUUGUAUUAGUUAUUAGUUUAGGCAUUUUUAACAAGAGAUGUCUUUCGUAGCUACACACAUAAGGCUAGAGUCACUUUUGUCCAUGGUGAUUUCAUUUUCUCCACACAGGGUUAGCAGAGAAUUAGAGGCCAAGCUGAUUGCAACAUUGUUACACUAGGUUUAAAUCUGUCCAAGCAGUCGACUAACACCACAGAUAUGAUGGUCCCCUCCGGAGCUACAGUGAUCUCAGGGGAGGUGCCAGGAUUUACUUCACUUCCCCUUACCUCUGUGGGGAUGUCGGGGGAGGAAUGCCUUUCCGUUACCUCUUAAGUGGGAGAGGUGAAGGGGAGGAAUGCCUGGGAUCAGAAGCCCGUCCCUGUCUUUACCAGCCACUGAGGGAACCCAGGAAUCCCCUCCAACUGCUAUGGACAGUGCAGUGAGAAAGAAGAGCAGUCUCAUUUUUGCUGCUAGGAAUGCACAGGGAAAGAAAUGUUCUUGGCAUUCUCAUUCUGGAACAAGUGAUACAUUUCCUUAUAGAAACCAAGACAUUGCUUCCACAAAACAUUAAUAAACAUUGUGUGGAGCAGCAUGAGGCAUGGGCUUAUGUCACAUAAGUUUGAGAACUGUGUGGUUAAACACACGGAACAUUUCUUUUUUCAUGUAAUUUGUGUGUAAUACUUUAAUACAUCUGACAAGCCUCCUUUGGAACAGGUAUGGGGGACACUGAAUACAGUAAUUCCCAAACUGUUUGAGCACUAACUCUUUUUCUAGGAACAUCAUGUGAGAGUAAUAUUUUUUGGAAUGCAAUUUGAAAAAUGCUGCCCUUGACCAAACCUUUUUUAACUCAAGCCACAAGUGUACAAUGGGCUCUUAACUUUGGUCUCUUUUUCUUUUUGUGCCUAGCCAUAUAAAGUUCUUUUGUACAUUAAUUUAUUGAAUAGCACUGAUUUAUUGAACCGGCCCUGGUGUUCUACUGGUUAAGGUUUGGUGCUCUCACUGCUGUGGUCCAGGUUCAUUUCCUGCUCGGGGAACCACAUCACCUGUCUAUCGGUUGUCAUACUGUGGUGGCUGCAUGCUGCUGUGAUGCUGAAAGCUGUGCCACAAGUAUUUUAAAUACCAGCAGGGUCACCCAUUGGUGGACAGGCUUCAGCGGAGCUUCCAGACUAAGACAGACGAGGAAGAAGGACCUGGCCACCCACUUCUGAAAAAACUGGCCAUGAAAACCCUAUGAAUAGCAGCAGAGCAUUGUCUGAUACAGUGCUGAAAGGUGAGAGAAUGGUGCAAAAAGACCGGGCAGGGCACCCCUCUGUUGUACACAGGGUCACUAGGAGUCUGUACACAUGGUCGCUAGGAGUCAGAAUUGACUUGACAGCGCUAACAACAACAAACUGAUUUAUUGAGUGUCUACUCUGUGCCUACUCUCUGCUUGGUGCUGGAAAUACAAAGAUGAAUUAGACACAUGGUCCCUGUCCUCAAAAAGUUCAUACUCUACCAGAGGAACCGGACACGAUGCAAAUGAUCAGGUUAAAUGUUCACAAGCCGUAUGAACAUGGCAAUGAUAGCACAAAGAAGAGGAACAAUGUGUCCUGAGGGCAGGAGAACACUCUCUGAGCAAGCUGCCACUUAUUAACUGCCUAACUGAUAUCCAUUCCUCACCUCAGAACAGUCCCCUUAUUUCUGCUUAGAAAAUUCUUGUGUUUCCUGGGAAGCUGACUCUACCAGUGCCAAUCUAGUCAGCACUUCCGUUCCUCUGUGCAAGGACAAGUUCAGGAGCAGCAAAUGCCACCAGCAAGUCCAAUUAGAAUGAAUCUCAGGAAUUAGGCCUGGAAUGUUGUGACCCUGCAUUUUUGCCUCUUGAUAUACUGCAGCCUUUUCUGCUCCUCUGAGAAAAACCAGACUGGAACAAAGUACGAUAUAGAGGAGGGCGAGGCUGGGAGAAUCACAAGGAGAUGAGCCAAAGACCUUUGGAUUGAGCGCAUCGAAGUCUAUCCUACCUUAUACUUUUCAGUUCUCUGAAUAAUACAUUUUCUUUAUUGCAAAGCCAAUUUGCCUUAAAUUUUUUGUUUCCCAUUUGAAAUAUCCUAAGUGAUAUAAUCCUGUGCCCAUGCCUUUGCCUUGUCAUUCUCUCCAAAUAAAAUAGCCACCUUUCCUGACCCAGGUCCUACUCAAGUUCCACCAUCACUUUGUAUCCCUCCUGGGUCAGCUGAGUUUACAGCGCUCUCUCACUCCUUUACCACUUAUUUGCACUAUGUUCGUUUAGUACUUAAGUACUCCUGUGUUAACACGCGCACUCACGUGUAUAUCUUGUCUCCUAGACUAGACUAUACAUUUUUUGAAAAUAGAGAUAAUGGACUUAUUAUGUCACAUGGAAUAAAGUACUCUAUAAACAUUUGUUCAAUAAAUAUUACUCUUUCACAGCAUACCCCCAUUUCCUGCAGUUCUUAGCAUAAGGCCUAAUGUAUAGCAGAAUCAUAAUAGUCAUUCACAUUUUACUUCUCAGCUGUCACGCCAUCUUGGCAUCACCCUUGAUUCCUCCCAAGUAAGAUUGAUCACUCCCAUUCUUGUGCACGCAUAGUAUCCUCACAGCUAUUACACUGUUGCUAUCACUUAUUUCCGAAGCUCUUCCCCUGCUAGAUUGUAGAGACAGAGACCGUAUUUGUCCAUCUUGUUUCCCCAACACCUGAUAAAGGUACAUAGUAGAUAUUCAAUAGAUCUUAUUAAAUAUACGAGAGAGAAAAUUAGUUUAUUUCUGGUUCUUACAGUGGUACUUAAAAUAUCUAUACAAUUCCAACUGAUAUAAUAAUUCUUCCAUUUUGUUCAAACAUAUCACAGACAUAUAGAGCUAAGUAGUAAAAUGAGCUUAAGCAGUAUGUUUCUAUCAUUCAUUCACAGAUGAAGGAUAUUAGUUCAAGAAUAAUCUUAUCAGAAAAACUUCUAUGUCAAAGUUCAGUGCUCAAUAGUAAUUAUUUCUAUGUCUGAGUGACAACCUAUACUAACACCACUUUCCUCUCUAUGAUAAAAUGAAUUGUAUUAAAUCAAAGAAUCUGUACAUAAAGUAGAAGAGAAGCAGGUAUUACAAAAUUCUUUUAAAGAACCAUGACCCUUUGAUAAAUAUUGAGUGUACCCUGUGUGAUAGCUGGAAUAUCAAAUGCCUUGAGUGAUUUCCUCUAGAAGAUAAAAUUUCAUUAAAGGAACACAGUAGCAAAAAAGCCAAAGCUUCCAGCAAGCCUUUAUCUUUUCUCCACUCCCAGUCUUCUUGACUUGUCAUAGAUUUACAUCUGUGUAGACCCUACUCUCCGUGCGUCUUCGUCUUUGAUGUUGCCUUCACAUCUCUGCCGCUUUGUUAAGAUUGUAUAAUAUAUUUCUUUUCUAAAUUCUGCCAUUUUCACUGUCAUGUUACUCCCCAUCAAUUUUAUUUGACCAUUGCUCAGAAGAGACUUCCAAGUUCUUUCCUGAAUCACAAAACAUUUUUUUCUCCUUAGUAGAACACCGUCAUGACUACCAAAAUAUGCACCAAUUUCUCAUUUCAGGAUAACUUCAAAUAAAGAAAGAAAAAAUUCCAUUAAUAAUACAUUUAGAAAAACUGUCAAAGAUUUUAAGAGCAUUUAUACUGCAUUCUAACAAAGUUACAGCAGCAGAUAUAAAUAUAGGCCAUAUUAUUUAAGGUUGUGAUCCGUGGACCGUCAGCCUCAGCAUCACCCGGGAGCUUGAUACAUAUACAGAAUCUCAGGCUCCGCCUUCACUUUCUGAAUCAGAAUCUACAUUUAGCAUGAUCCCCAGGUAACUCAUAUGUACAAUAGUGUUUGGAAAGUACUAAAUAUAAACAUUAAAAGGCUUUUAAACAUCAAAAUACUUCUACUGAUACUGUUGACAGACUUCUAUUCUUUAUGUUGUACUUUCUAAGCUUUCUGCCAAGAAAAUCCUCAAUAAAUAUUAUUUAAAAGAUAAUUAAAAUAUAGUUUCAGUCAGUUUAGAGCUCAGAAACUUGUAGGGAUGACAAACUUCUAUGAAAGCCCAGAAAUGGGUGUGCCUAACUCAGUAUGGUAAACCAGGAGAGGCUUUAGUUUUCCCAAACUAUCAAAAAAAAAAAAAAAAA